This 803-nucleotide ribosomal RNA is filed under the name uncultured bacterium. Its description in RNAcentral is "bacterial SSU rRNA". It matches the Rfam family "Bacterial small subunit ribosomal RNA", at positions 1 to 804 of the family's 1533-position model. The record is from RNAcentral.
UUAGAGUUUGAUCCUGGCUCAGGAUGAACUCUUUCGGCAGGCUUAACACAUGCAAGUCGAGGGGCAGCAUGUCCAGCAAUGGAUGAUGGCGACCGGCGGAAGGGUGCGUAACGCGUGAGCAACAUGCCCUAUACAGGGAGAUACACCAGGGAAACUUGGUCUAAUAUCCCAUAUCAUUCAUUGAAGGCAUCUUUAAUGAAUUAAAGCUUCGGUGGUAUAGGAUUGGCUCGCGUGACAUUAGCCAGAUGGUGAGGUAACGGCUCACCAUAGCAAUGAUGUCUAGGGGUUUUGAGAGGAAGGCCCCCCACACUGGGACUGAGACACGGCCCAGACUCCUACGGGAGGCAGCAGUGAGGAAUAUUGGACAAUGGAUGGAAAUCUGAUCCAGCCAUGCCGCGUGCAGGAAGACGGCCUUAUGGGUUGUAAACUGCUUUUAUACGGGAGCAAUAAGGGUUACGAGUAAUCCGAUGAGAGUACUGUAUGAAUAAGGAUCGGCUAACUCCGUGCCAGCAGCCGCGGUAAUACGGAGGAUCCGAGCGUUAUCCGGAAUUAUUGGGUUUAAAGGGUGCGUAGGCGGCCAUUUAAGUCAGCGGUGAAAUUUUGCAGCUUAACUGUAACAGCGCCGUUGAUACUGUUUGGCUAGGAUUUGGUUGUAGUGUGCGGAAUGUGUGGUGUAGCGGUGAAAUGCUUAGAUAUCACACAGAACACCGAUUGCGAAGGCAGCACACUAAGUCAUUAUUGACGCUGAGGCACGAAAGUGUGGGGAUCAAACAGGAUUAGAUACCCUGGUAGUCCACACUGUA